Molecule: ribosomal RNA, 457 nt
Filed under: uncultured bacterium
Lineage: Bacteria
Description: SSU rRNA
Rfam family: Bacterial small subunit ribosomal RNA
Source: RNAcentral
AGGAUGAACGCUGGCGGCGUGCCUAAUACAUGCAAGUCGAGCGGUAAGGCCCCUUCGGGGGUACACGAGCGGCGGACGGCUGAGUAACGCGUGGGAACGUACCCCAAAGUGAGGGAUAAGCACCAGAAAUGGUGUCUAAUACCGCAUGUGCUCUAAGGAGUAAAGCUUCGGCGCUUUGGGAACGGCCUGCGUCCGAUUAGCUUGUUGGUGAGGUAAUGGCUUACCAAGGCGAUGAUCGGUAGCUGGUCUGAGAGGAUGAUCAGCCAGACUGGGACUGAGAACGGCCCAGACUCCUACGGGAGGCAGCAGUAGGGAAUUUUCCACAAUGGGCGAAAGCCUGAUGGAGCAACGCCGCGUGCAGGAUGAAGGCCUUCGGGUUGUAAACUGCUUUUAUGUACGACGAUUAUGACGGUAGUACAUGAAUAAGGAUCGGCUAACUCCGCGCCAGCACGCCGAC